AUUGAACGCUGGCGGCAUGCCUUACACAUGCAAGUCGAACGGUAACAGGUUAAGCUGACGAGUGGCGAACGGGUGAGUAAUGUAUCGGAACGUGCCCAGUCGUGGGGGAUAACUGCUCGAAAGAGCAGCUAAUACCGCAUACGACCUGAGGGUGAAAGCGGGGGAUCGCAAGACCUCGCUCGAUUGGAGCGGCCGAUAUCAGAUUAGGUAGUUGGUGAGGUAAAGGCUCACCAAGCCGACGAUCUGUAGCUGGUCUGAGAGGACGACCAGCCACACUGGGACUGAGACACGGCCCAGACUCCUACGGGAGGCAGCAGUGGGGAAUUUUGGACAAUGGGCGCAAGCCUGAUCCAGCCAUGCCGCGUGCGGGAAGAAGGCCUUCGGGUUGUAAACCGCUUUUGUCAGGGAAGAAAAGGUUCUGGCUAAUACCUGGGACUCAUGACGGUACCUGAAGAAUAAGCACCGGCUAACUACGUG
Molecule: ribosomal RNA, 477 nt
Filed under: uncultured bacterium
Lineage: Bacteria
Description: partial 16S ribosomal RNA
Rfam family: Bacterial small subunit ribosomal RNA
Source: RNAcentral